This 1343-nucleotide long non-coding RNA is filed under the name Sus scrofa (pig). RNAcentral describes it as "lncRNA (ENSSSCG00015057860.1)". Lineage: Eukaryota; Metazoa; Chordata; Mammalia; Artiodactyla; Suidae. The record is from RNAcentral.
AUUCAGUGAAGACGCGGGGGGUGAGAAGGUUCCAGCUUUGCUAAGAAACAGGAGAAAAGCCAACCAGAACAAUGUGUGGAACCAGAGGAAAAGCACGGCCCCAUCGCAACACUGUCUCGGCCAGAAAAACAGGCCUGCGUCCUGCCAAUUGCACGGAGGCGAGGGGUCCCCCAGGACGAGGAGAGGUGCAGACGUGGCGUUAGGAGGCCGCACAUGUGCCCUGGCCGGAGGACCGCUCUUCCCUGGGGAUUGGGACUUCAGCUCAGACCGGUGGGGCCCCCACGGGACCAAGCGUCCCUGGACCAGCCUAGAUCAUGGUCGGACCUUCUGCCGGACGCAGCCCCACACACUCAGAGGCUUAGAACCAAGACCAUGAGGGUGAAGGGACGCUCAGGACUCAGCUGUCCAUCUUCCAUUUGUAAACGUGGAAACUCAGGCCCAGAGAGGGGCCCCUCUCAGGUCCGCCGCGUUGUUCCGAGACAGUGAAGGGUGUGGACACGGACACGAUGCUAGGUUGGCAUCUGUCAUUGCUGUUGGUUUUCCCAGUGAGGUGGGUACCGCCCUCAUCUCUGCCUUACACGCUAAGCUGUGGCCUGGAGACGUUAAGUCAGUCACCUAAGGCCACGCAGCUGUGAAGCGUAGAGCCGGGCCUCUAAUCGGGACCAUUUUAUCCUGCUGCGUCGGGACAGCAAGCAGGGCCUCUGACCUCCCGGCCCAGCAGGGCCCCUUCCACCCCAGGUCGCAGGUCCUGGACGAGGUUCUGUUUACACCCUGCUCAGCUCCUCCGCGAAGACGCCCCUGCAGACACAUCGCUUGGCCGGGAAUGACCCGACUCUGACCUGCGGUUCUCCUUUGCCACUAGCCCCAUGCCCCCAGCCCUGCUCCCAGUCACAAUGCUGAUGCCGCCCUCUUCGGCCUCAGCUCCAGCGUGGCCUGCUGGGGCAGACGCCCCCCCUUCAUGCCCCGAGUGCCCCUCUCCCCUGGCUUUGCGGAUUAUAACCCUAAGUGUGUGUUUACCCAUGGCCUCCCCCCCGCUUUCCUGGCCACCGUGGUGCCUGGCAAGGAAGAAAGAACAAGCAGAAGUUGCUGGAGCUCCCGCUGCGGCGCCGUGGGAUCGGCAGCGUCUCUGCAGUGCCGGGACACAGGUUCAAAGGACCCAGGCUUGCAGCAGCUGUGGUGUAGGUCCCAACUGUGGCUCAGGUCUGAUCCCUGGCCCAGGAACUCCAUAGACCAGGGGGUGGCAAAAAAAAAAAAAAAGUUGUUGAUUCAGUAAAUGAAUGAAUCAACUAAAAAACAAAGAUAUGCCUUAGUUCUUCAAAUAAAUUUCUGCCCAAGUCUCUCAC